GAUGAAGAACGUAGCGAAAUGCGAUAAGUAAUGUGAAUUGCAGAAUUCAGUGAAUCAUCGAAUCUUUGAACGCACAUUGCGCCCGCCAGUAUUCUGGCGGGCAUGCCUGUUCGAGCGUCAUUUCAACCAUCAAGCCCCAGGCUUGUGUUGGGGACCUGCGGCUGCCGCAGGCCCUGAAAACCAGUGGCGGGCUCGCUGUCACACCGGGCGUAGUAGAUUUUAUCUCGCUCUGGGCGUGCUGCGGGUUCCGGCCGUUAAAAAACCCUUUUAACCCAAGGUUGACCUCGGAUCAGGUAGGAAUACCCGCUGAACUUAAGCAUAUCAAUAAGAGGAGGA
Molecule: unclassified non-coding RNA, 336 nt
Filed under: soil metagenome
Description: partial contains 5.8S ribosomal RNA, internal transcribed spacer 2, and large subunit ribosomal RNA
Rfam family: 5.8S ribosomal RNA (bases 1-120)
Source: RNAcentral